CCUUGCUUGGCAGCAUAGCAUAGUGUUAGAACUAACAGCCAUAAAUUCUUUUAUAUGCCGUUUGAAACAAUGUUUCACAAUUGAAAGAAAAUAUUCCUUCAUUAUAUACUGAGAUGCAUAAAGCACAACUGUAGAAACAAGCAGAUCAGAGGAUUUUGUGAGAGGAAUUUGGCUGAAGAAACAGCUCACCAUAUUAUAGUAGUAUAUGGCACACGUACCAGUAAUUGGAGGUGAGCACUGCUCCCUAGCAAUUUAUGGAUGUGAAAAAAAGGGCAAUUAAAAGACAAAGGUGACAUAUAUAUUAUAUUUUACUGCACAACAGAAUUAUAUAUUAUUUAAAAGGUCCCCCAGCAUUCCCUUCUUUGCCACUUGCACAAGAAAACACAUUGGUGGGACAUAAUAUAUUAUAUAGGGCAGGAUAUAAAAAAAUAAAAUCUAUUUUUUAGAAUUUAAUUUAAUUCAUAAUUUUGUUUAAAAAAAAAAUACAAAUCAAUCCUAUUAGUUCUUAGCAGUCUUUCUUUUCUUUUC
Pelobates cultripes (western spadefoot toad) is the source of this 528-nucleotide non-coding RNA. The record is from the annotation of a GenBank genome assembly. Lineage: Eukaryota; Metazoa; Chordata; Amphibia; Anura; Pelobatidae.